This 253-nucleotide ribosomal RNA is filed under the name uncultured bacterium. Its description in RNAcentral is "partial 16S ribosomal RNA". It matches the Rfam family "Bacterial small subunit ribosomal RNA", at positions 524 to 776 of the family's 1533-position model. The record is from RNAcentral.
UACGGAGGAUGCAAGCGUUAUCCGGAAUUAUUGGGCGUAAAGCGUCCGCAGGUGGUUUAUCAAGUCUGCUGUUAAAGCACAGGGCUUAACCCUGUAAAGGCAGUGGAAACUGAGAGACUAGAGUACGGUAGGGGUAGCGGGAAUUCCCAGUGUAGCGGUGAAAUGCGUAGAUAUUGGGAAGAACACCAGCGGCGAAGGCGCGCUACUAGGCCGAAACUGACACUCAUGGACGAAAGCUAGGGGAGCGAAAGGG